Molecule: ribosomal RNA, 468 nt
Filed under: uncultured bacterium
Lineage: Bacteria
Description: partial 16S ribosomal RNA
Rfam family: Bacterial small subunit ribosomal RNA
Source: RNAcentral
GACGAACGCUGGCGGCGUGCUUAACACAUGCAAGUCGAACGGAAAGGCCCUGCUUUUGUGGGGUGCUCGAGUGGCGAACGGGUGAGUAACACGUGAGUAACCUGCCCUUGACUUUGGGAUAACUUCAGGAAACUGGGGCUAAUACCGGAUAGGAGCUCCUGCUGCAUGGGGGGGGUUGGAAAGUUUCGGCGGUUGGGGAUGGACUCGCGGCUUAUCAGCUUGUUGGUGGGGUAGUGGCUUACCAAGGCUUUGACGGGUAGCCGGCCUGAGAGGGUGACCGGCCACAUUGGUACUGAAAUACGGCCCAGACUCCUACGGGAGGCAGCAGUGGGGAAUAUUGCACAAUGGGCGGAAGCCUGAUGCAGCAACGCCGCGUGCGGGAUGACGGCCUUCGUGUUGUAAACCGCUUUCGCCUGUGACGAAGCGUGAGUGACGGUAAUGGGUAAAGAAGCACCGGCUAACUACGUG